GGUAAUUACAUAGUAUUGAGUAAAUUACCCUGUGCUCUACAGUAGGUCCUUGUUUACUGAUCUGUUUUAUAUACACCAGUGUUACAUACCCUCUGACAGCUUCGCUUUGAAUGGUUGUAUGACGUUGUAUCUUAUGGUCGAGUCCCCAAUGUUGGACAUUUAGGUUGUUUCUCAUUUUUUGAUGCUGUAAUCAGUUCUGUCAUGAUUUGCCCCUGUAGUAUAACUUUUCAUAUGUGAUUGAUUAUAUCCUAGGGUUAAAUUCCUAAAUGUGGGUGCCGGGUUUGACCAGCCAGCUCAUCAAAGGCCUUGAAUGCCCAACAGAAAGAUCGCAGUGACAAUUGUUGAGGUGGGAAGGAAUCCGGCAAAUAGCGCCUCCUUCUGUACACUGGUUCUAAUGUAGCUGAGGUGGACAAUAGGCUAUGGUGGGGAGAUGGAGAGGAAAAUACUGCUAUUAUUACGGUUCAAGACUAGUUAGGAGGAGUUCCCAUUGUGGCCGACUAGUAUCCACGAGGAUACAGGUUCAAUCCCUGGCCUCGCUCAGUGGGGUAAGGAUCCAGCAUUGCUGUGGCUGUGUCGUAGGCUGUUGGCUACAGCUCUAAUUUGACCCCUAGCCGAGGAACCUCCAUAUGCCACAAGUGCAGCCCUAAAAAGCAGGAAAAAAAAAAAAAGACUAGUUUGAGAACAUGACUUAGAUGUGCAGCUACAAAGGACUUCCUACUGUUGGACCCUGCAAUUAAUCAUGGGUAAGCACCUACUUGUGACUCCCGGGCUAUGCUAGCAGAUCGCAGACCUCGCCCUGGGAAACUGUGGCAGAGCAGGAGUUCAGCAGAGGCUCUCUUCCUGUGGGCAGCUGGCUUCCUGGGCGAAGGUGGGAGGAGGAGCUGAACUCUGCCUGCCCAGCUCCUCCUCCCAAACUCACUAACCAGAUGAGUCAUUCUACCUCCCCAGAGAGGGAGUAAGUAAGAGAGUAAAGAAAAGCCAAGAGUGUUAUACAAAUGAUGUCCCUCCACCUGCCAGGGAACAACAAGAGAGGGUUGUAAGCGUUCUCUGGUAUAAUUAUAAAAAUGAUAGCUAAUUUGUAUGGAGUCUUACACUAGGCUUUUUGCAUGCAUCUUCUCCUUUGAUCCUUCUAACAAUGAAAAUAUUCUGGCCAUGUCUAUCUCGUAAAUGAGGAAACAGGCUUAGAGAAUUAAGCGCUAUGUCCCAGAUAUCUCCUAGCUGGUAUGCAGAGGAGCUGGGAUUUGAACCCAGGCAGCCUGUCCGUCAUUAUCAGUCACUAUGAAUCUUUCUUCCACCAUCAGUGUCAUCUGACCUUUGAAAGGUCGACAGCCCCUCAACUUAAAGGGAGAGUCAGCUGAGAGCCAGACCUGCCAGCUUGUGAGUGUCCCCAGGUUGAAAUGGCAUGCCCCUCCCUGGCAGACCUUCUGACCGGCCCUGUGCCCAUGAAAUUCACUAAAUUGCUUUGGAAAGGACCACUUUAACCAAGCAUCCUGGAUUAUGAGGAGCAGCGAUUAUGAUGGACUGCACACGGGGACCUUGACAAGUGUCCUUGCUUCACAGAGGACUCAGAGACACACGCAAGUUCACAACGUGAGGUUUCUGAUGAUUCCGUUUUAUCUUAAGAUCUCUGCAACUCAUUAAGGAUUUGCUUUGAUUUAGGCAGAAAAUAAUGAACCUGUUAAAGAAAAUUAUUUUCAAUUAGAAAGAAAACAUGUAAUUCGUGGGGAUGGGGUGAGAACACUAAUUAUACUUUUAAUUGUGUCUAUUGCCCUUUGGGGUAAACUCUAAGGAAUUGGGUAAAGAAAGAGAAACUGAAUUUUUCUUUAAGUGGUUUUCCAUUGUUCCAGGCAAUUCUCCAAAGAACAGUCACCUCCAUGGUAACCCAUGUUCAGUUUUAAUUGCUUUACAAGCAGAAGCUAGGCUUUUUUGUUUUUUAAACAAGCGGUUUUGGUGUUUCUUUAAUUGUAUGUGCUUAUAAUUCUUUUAUUCUUUAAACAUUGGCUGAGGUUUACCUGGAAACUUAUAGACCUUGAUGCUUAUGCAUCAGUAUAUCUGAUUGGUAAAAAUGUUAGUGAAGAAAUAUGAGAUAAUGACGGAGAACAUGGGUUCUGGAGUUUCCAUUCUUGAGGUUCACAGACGACUUUACCUUUUACUCGCUGUGUGAUCUUUGGCAAGUUACUUAGCCUCUCUGUGCUUUAGUUUCUUGUCUAUGAAAUGGGCAUAACACAGCACCCCCAUCAUAGUUGUUAGAAGGGUUCAAUGACUGUUAGUCAGGAUGGGCUAAGUUAUGCUGCAGUAACAAAUCCCAAAUCUCAGAAGGUUGAUGCAAUCAACAUUUAUUUCUCACUCAUGCAAAGUCCUCCAAAGAUCUGGAUGAUUCCCAUUGUGGCUGGCUCAACACAUUCCAGGCUGCUUCAAUUUUACAGCUCCCUCAUAGCAUCCGGCUUCCAUGCUUGGUACAGCAGAGAAGACAGAUGAUAGGGAAUUAUGUCCUGGCUCUCAAAGGCUUCGACAGGCAGUGACACAAAUCACUUCUGCUUGUAUUUCAUGGGGGAAAGCAAACUGCCUGGCGAUGCAUAAAUUCAAGGUGGCAGAAAGGGCCCGGAAGCAGAGAAACCAGGAAUAUGGAUGGGCAGCAGGAUGUCCACCAGCAUAUGCAUAGUGCCUGUUAGAAAGAAGCAUGAAAUAAAUGUAAGCUAUCGUUGCUGAAGGCUGGCACUGCCAAAAUGUAAUUUUUUUUUUUGUCUUUUUAUGGCCACGCCCGUGGCAUAUGGAGGUUCCCAAGCUAAGGGUUGAAUCAGAGCUAUAUCUGCUGGCCUAUUCCAUAGCCACAGCAAUGCGGGAUCCGAGGUGUGUCUGCGACCUAUACCACAGCUCUUGGCAAUGCCGGAUCCUUAACCCACUGAACAAGGCCAGGGAUCGAACCUUGGUCCUCAUGGAUGCCAGUCAGAUUUGUUUCCACUGAGCCAUGAUGGGAACUCCUAAUUUUAAUUUUAAUUGAGGCUGUUUUUUUCUUUCGAGAUUUGGCCUAAAGAAUAACUUCCGCAUGUUCAGAAGCCCAAACAGUGGGUUUGCUUUAGUGUUCUGGCACUUAGUAGAUGGCACACAUUUGAAGGGUAAUAUUAGUAUGUUUGAGAACAUGGGCUUAGAGUCAGGUGGACUUCAUCUGAAUCUCAGGACCAACACCUAUUGAAGGAGUGUGAUGUUGAUGAGAUGAUUGAUUUAACCUUUCCUGGACUCCGUGACCUCUGGGGUCAUCUUUGUAAUUUUGUUCUUCAUUUUCCAUUAUGUCCUUUUCUAAUAGCCAUAUUUUUCAUUAUUUUAUCUUUUAUGGCAACAUUGCCUCACAGCCAAUUAGUGAUGCAGCGGCAUUGUUUUAUACCGCUUUGUUAGUGGCAAAGAUAUUUAGGGGAAAGUGGCUUAUAGAGAUAAUACGGGAUAAGGAUUAACAAUUUCCUGAACCCUCAGCUUGCUCAUCUGCAAAAUGGGAAUAAAAAAUUAACUUUCUAGAGCUUUUCCCAUCACAUACGUGGACACUUAAAACACAGAGUAAACACCAAAACAUAUCUUUUUUUGCCCUCUUCUUUCCCCCUGCUUCAUAAUUAUGCCAGAUUGUAGGAGUUCUCACUGUGGCUCAGGGGUAAUGAAACAGACUAGUAUCCAUGAGAAUGCAGGUUUGAUCCCUGGCCUCGCUUAGUGGGUUAAGGAUCCAGCGCUGCAGUGAGCUGUGGUGUAUGUUGCAGCCAUGGCUCGGAUUCUGCAUUGCUGUGUCUAUGGUGUAGGUGGGCAACUGCAGCUCUGACUUAACCCCUAGACUGGGAACUUCCAUAAGCCACACAUGAGGCCCUAAAACACAAAUAAUAAUGAUAAUGAUAAUGAUAACAAUAAUAAUAGUAAUGGUAGAUUAUGAUCCUGACCUGGCUGUAGGAGAGCCAUUUGGGAUAUUUUCAUUUUGUUUGUUUGUUUGUUUAGGGCCACAUCUGUGGCAUAUGGAGGUUCCCAGGGUAAGGGUCAAAUUGGAGCUGUAGCAGAUGGCUGUUGCCACAGCAACGCCAGAUACAAGCUGAGUCUGUGACCUACAUCACAGCUCACAGCAAUGCUGGAUCCUUAACACACUGAGCGAGGCCAGGGAUCGAAUCUGCAUCCUCAUGGAUAGUAGUCAGAUUCGAUUCUGCUGAGCCACGACGGGAACUUCUCUUUGGGAUGUGUUCACUUCUUUCUUGCUUCCCCAGUUUGCUAAGGGCUACAUGAACUGAUAUAAGUAUCCACCAGCGUGGGUGCCUAGCAGCUGCUCAGUAAAUGCUGGUUUCCAUCACCCUCCCCUGUCCUACCAUGUCCUCUUAACACGGUGCUGUUCCCAUGAUGGGAUGGAAUUGCAGACAUCAAGGAGGGAGCUGUCUCACAACCUUGGGUGGGUCCAGCUCAACACUGCACACAUCUCAACAGACAACUGCCUGUUCCACCUGCUGCAGUGAAUUGACCCACCACAAAAGAAAAGGUUAGACCUCCCUCACAAACAAGUAGCAUUCAUGGAAUUAGACUGCCUCUGAAGGAAUACUGGCAGCCAGCAACUCGCUCACACUGAGACUGACCAGGAGUUGGCUGAGGUGCCUGCAGGUACCCGUGGAAGCUGAUGAAGCCUGAGUGAGGAGGAUGCGUCGUGCAAACACACCACCCAUCCCUGAUGACAUGGCUGCCACCAGCAGCUUUCCAUACUCGGUCUUCUAGAAGGCUCCUGAGAACAUGCCACCUCCUCUCUGAAGCCCUCUCCUCCUCUUCCCAGCCAGCUGGCCACUCCUUGCUUUGUGCCCCACUCGAACCCCCUGGCAGUAUCUUUAGUGAGCCUUUGAGGGGAGACCUGGAUCUCAUUCAUCUUGGCACUCGAGACACCAGCACACAGUAGGCAGUUAACAGCUGAUGACUGAAUGAAUAACCACAGGAGGAAAUCAAGGACCUUGAGAACUAUUUUCCAGAGAAAACAUCUUACAGAAGCUCUUUGGAUAUAAUGAGUCUCCUAGGAAGAGAAGAGUGAAUAUUUUCCUUCUCCUCUAAUGUCUUUUUUUAAGAAAAGAAUGAAGAGGAAAGGGAAAAAGGAAAACCUUACCACCAGGAAACUCUGCAGGGUACCAUUGGAAGCUGUGGAAAAGGCUUGGUGAUUGAUUAGUCAUGCCUGCUGGGGAGAGGGCAGGGAGAGGAGGGCAGCCCUUCUGCCUGACAGCUGCCGUCUCUCUUAAACCUUUAACUAGCAACCAAAUGAGUGCAAAUGCAGCUUAACCAGUGAAGUAUGGCCUUUUCUUCAACCUUUAAUUGGUAUAUUUAGCAAAUAUGUUUUACUAUUAAAAUGAAAAUGGGGUGGAAAAUAGACUUCAUUUUAUAAUCCAUAUUGAGGACAUAUUGGUAUCCUAUCAACAGAAAAGAUUCUUCUAAUGAAUGAAAAGGAACGCAACCCCCAUAUGACUGAUGACUGAUUAUUCCUUCUGGCUAGAAAAGGAUGAUGAUAGUCCUGCAGAGGAGGGGUGUUGCUUGUAUAGCAAAGGCCUCCUGUAGGGGUGAGUCUGUGUCCCGGGUAAUCCUUAGACUUAAAAUCAGAACAUCCAUGUUUUCCUCCCAACUUUCUUUUAAUUGGAAAAUUUCAGGACUCCCCUGGUGGCUCAGCAGGUUAAGGAUCCAGCAUUGUUACUGUUGUGGCUCUGGCUACUCCUGUGGUUUGGGUAUGAUCCCUGGCUGGCAAACUUCCACCUGGUGCAGGUGUGGCAAAAAAAAACAAACAAAAAAAUCCAAAAAAAAAAAACAAAAAAAAA
This 5801-nucleotide long non-coding RNA is filed under the name Sus scrofa (pig). RNAcentral describes it as "lncRNA (ENSSSCG00015074935.1)". Lineage: Eukaryota; Metazoa; Chordata; Mammalia; Artiodactyla; Suidae. The record is from RNAcentral.